CCUACCAGUUUAGUGGGUGGCGCAGUAUCCUAGUCAGUGCUGCCCUUCCUGAAGACGGGCCUAAAAAUCCGUCAAGGGCACAGCGAUGAAGUUCCUGGUGCUGGCUGCCGACGCCCAGUCGGGGGCUGGUGCUGGGAGUUAAGGAAGGGGGGCGAUCUACAAAGGCAUGUAGGCGUUGACCCUCCUUCCGCGGAGACCCAAGUGCGUGGGAAAGUCUACACUAGGGAUGAGUACUAUGGCUUGGGGUAUAAACCUGCAGUCGGUACAAAGGGUGCUGGCUGCAGCGUAGCCUGCCUUGAGUGGUUGUGGUGGAAACUGGCUGUUGAAACCACAACUGCAAAAGAGGCUAGGGAAGGGUGGGUGCUGUGGAGGAAAACUCCUAGGCUGUUUACCGCUUUGCUGGUAAGGCCUGCCAGGGAUUAAAGUGUGUGCUAAGUGGUGAUCCAGCUCUGUAUACGGCGACGUUACAGGGCAACCUUUAAAGGGGAACCGCCGCUUGCGGCGACGGGCGGUAGGUUGCCGGGAAAACCUGCUGGACCUAAGCCACAACGUUUACCUGGCAGGUCGCCACCCACUGUAGCGGUAAG
RNAcentral lists this small RNA (587 nucleotides) under Thermanaeromonas toyohensis ToBE. The record is from RNAcentral. Lineage: Bacteria; Bacillati; Bacillota; Clostridia; Neomoorellales; Neomoorellaceae.